GGGAGCCGUAUGCCCGAAUUGGGCCCGUACGGAUCUGUGCGGGGGGCGCGAGGUAACUCGCGUCCCUACCGCGAA
RNAcentral lists this unclassified non-coding RNA (75 nucleotides) under Bradyrhizobium lablabi. Lineage: Bacteria; Pseudomonadati; Pseudomonadota; Alphaproteobacteria; Hyphomicrobiales; Nitrobacteraceae. The record is from RNAcentral. RNAcentral also lists the same sequence under 2 other names.